UACAGAGGGUGCAAGCGUUGUUCGGAAUUAUUGGGCGUAAAGGGCGUGUAGGCGGUCUGCUAAGUCAUGUGUGAAAUCCCUCGGCUUAACUGUGGAACGGCUGGGCAUACUGGCGGUCUUGAGCCAUCUAGGGGCGACUGGAACAAACGGUGGAGCGGUGAAAUGCGUAGAUAUCGUUUGGAACGCCAAUGGUGAAAACAGGUCGCUGGGGAUGAGCUGACGCUGAGACACGAAAGCCAGGGGAGCAAACGGG
This 253-nucleotide ribosomal RNA is filed under the name uncultured bacterium. RNAcentral's name for it is "partial 16S ribosomal RNA". It matches the Rfam family "Bacterial small subunit ribosomal RNA", at positions 524 to 776 of the family's 1533-position model. The record is from RNAcentral.